AAUGAUUGGCUCUUUUAAGGUAAAUUUUGUUGCGUAGCAAAAUAGACAUUAUUAAUAUUAGAGCAGUCACACAACUGAAUGAAUUUACACAGUACAUGCUUGCACUGGUGAUAUGUUGCAGCUACUUUCUAAAUCAAAUUUCACUUGGAUUUUAACAUUGCAAAUGACUGCUAACAUCAUGAUCAUGUAAUUUGCAGAGUGGGAAAAAUAAAUACUGGGCUGGAAAGCACGCAGUCUUUCCUGAAGUGAUUUACAAUCUUAAUUAUCACUGUCUUUAGAAUCUGAGGCAAAAUUCUUCAUGGUGUUUUGACGGAACUAAUGCAGAGCUCUAAGUACUUAUUUUACCAUUUGUGCUGCAAAAUUUGGAGAUUAUAUACAUUUAUAAAAUCAGGUAAAGAAUGGUGUUCAUUACCCCAAAUGAAUGUUUGGUUGUUUGCACUAUCCAUUCUAAAAACCACACGGUAUAUGACUGUGCUGUUGAUGGGAAUGUCAUCUUUAAGUAAAAUGCAAUUCCUGGACUUUUUUUGAAGGGUGAUAUUCAAAGAGUAAUAUCCCAAAACAAUCCCUGUAAAAUGAAAAUGUAAUUUAAUUGAUUCUCUGAAUGAGGCUGCACCAUUGAUUGAAGGGAAUUCGAAAAUAUGCUUUCUCUUUUUGUAGUUUAGUUUAGUUUAGUUUAGAGAUACCGCACGGAAACUGCCACUUCGGCCCACAGAGUGCACUCCAACCAGCGAUCCUGGUACACUAGCACUCUUCUACACACCAGCGACAAUUUACAAUUUUACGAAGCCAAUUAGCCCACAAACCUGUACAUCUUUGGAGCGUGGGAGGAAACCAGAGUUCCCGGUGUAAAUGCACGCAGCUCACAUGGAGAACACAGAAACUCCGUACAUUCAGCACCUGUAGUCAGGAUCGAACCUGGGUCUCAGGUGUUACUAGGUAGCUCCAUCGUACCCAUGUAGGACUCCAACUAGGAGUAAUACUGUGCAGGUGCACAGCAGCAUGAGUGGCUUUCAUUGUAAAGCUGAAGGUAUUUUAGGGUUAUUGGAAGUGACUGGAGUAGAAACUGCAACCAUAACUGUAUGACAAUACUGUAAUCCACUCAAAGUACCCAUUAAUGGAAUUAAACUGGAGUGGUCGACUGGAUCUAAACAAUCAAUGUGAAGUGUGCUGUGAAUGUGUCUUUUAGAACAAAGUGUACAUCUUCAGCAAUAUUACUUGUUGUGGUUAGAAUCUCAAAAGGGUUAUACUGAACUCACCAGCAUCACAUGGAUGCCACAUUCAUCCAAUUACUAUAAAAAUGACCUUCAAAGAAACAAUUAAGCAUUGGCUUUUAUUGUCAGGCACUCAUUAUUUUAAAAACAUUGUCUUAGUUUUUCUUUCUUAAUCUUUCAGGAAGGAUUGCAGAACACUGUCUGAAGAAGGGUUUUGGCCCGAAACGUUGCCUAUUUCCAUCGCUCCAUAGAUGCUGCUGCACCCACUGAGUUUCUCUAGCACUUUUGUCUACCUUUGAUUUUCCAGCAUCUGCAGUUUUUUCUUAAACAAAGAAAUUCCUCAUCUUCUUUCUAAAGAAAUACAGUGUGGAAACAGGCCCUUCAGGCCACCGAGUCUGCGCCGACCAGCAUCUCUAUCCUACACACCAGGGACUAUUUACAAGAAGGAAACCCUCCCAUCAAGAUCGGCUGCGGGAGGCAGUCCCUGGGACACAGAGGUGAUCGGGUGAGGACAGGGACAUUGGGUCAUGGGCAUGCAGCAACCUGGGGCUCACCUGUGCUUACCUGGACCAGGGGCGCUCACUUCCAACAUGUGGACCUGACUUUGGACUUUUUCUUUGUAAACAGUGCCAGAAUAUGGUGACUGUGCGUAUGUGGGUUGUGGAAAAAUAAUUUCACUGUGCUGUGUACACGUGACAAUAAAGAAUCAUUGAACCAUCGAUCCUUCGAGAUACCAAAAGAUCAUUUGAUCAAAAUGAUGCACAGACAUGUCAUAUUUUUUUUAGAUAUUGUGGAAGAGAAAAUUGAGGGAGCCGAGGAACUUCAUAAACAUGUGGUAUAUCAGAGGCUAUGGAAUUAUACCCCAGAGUAAGUAACAACUUUCAAGACGGGAUGAAAGAAAAUCGAAUAGCAGUUUAUUCUAAGCAUGAUUGAACACAGGUUCUGAGAGACUUUAGUCAUUUUCUUUUCCAUUUACGUUGGAAAGGUUUUUAUAAUCUUUCUUAUUGGUUUUGAGUGUUGGGACUGUGCAGUGUUUAUGCAAGUAACAAAUUUGACAGCGGCAUCUAAAAUUGAAGGGUUACAGGAUAUAAAUGGCUGAAAAUGUUGUACAUUUUUAGAUGCUCCCCAUCAGUAAAGUCACCAUCUGUACAGAUGGCAGCCGAGCAGCCACAAAUUAGGUCAGGACCCAGGAGUAACACAUCUUGGCAUCGCACAGAGGUUUUCUGAAGGAUCUCAACGGUCUGAUGCAGUAACAUAGAAACAUAGAAAAUAGGUGCAGGAGUAGGCCAUUCAGCCCUUCGAGCCCAUUCAAUAUGAUCAUGGCUGAUCAUCCAACUCAGUAUCCUGUACCUGCCUUCUCGCCAUACCCCCUGAUCCCUUUAGCCACAAGGGCCACAUCUAACUCCCUCUUAAAUAUAGCCAAUGAACUGUCCUCAACUACCUUCUGUGGCAGGGAGUUCCAGAGAUUCACCAGUCUCUGUGCGAAAAAUGUUUUUCUCAUCUCAGUCCUAAAGGAUUUCCCCUUGUCCUGGACUUCCCCAACAUCGGGAACAAUGUUCCUGCAUUUAUCCUGUCCAACCCCUUAAGAAUUUUAUAGGUUUCUAUAAGAUCCCCCCUCAAUCUUCUAAAUUCUAGCGAGUACAAGCCGAGUCUAUCCAAUCAUUCUUCAUAUGAAAGUCCUGACAUCCCAGGAAUCAGUCUAGUGAACCUUCUCUGUACUCCCUCCAUGGCAAGAAUGUCUUUCCUCAGAUUUGGAGACCAAAACUGUACGCAAUACUCCAGGUGUGGUCUCACCAAGACCCUGUACAACUGCAGUAUAGGGGUUCCUAUACUCAAAUCCUUUUGCUAUGAAUGCCAACAUACCAUUCGCUUUCUUCACUGCCUGCUGCACCUGCAUGCCUACUUUCAAUGACUGGUGUACCAUGACACCCAU
This is a long non-coding RNA of Leucoraja erinaceus (little skate), 3144 nucleotides long. RefSeq lists it as uncharacterized. Lineage: Eukaryota; Metazoa; Chordata; Chondrichthyes; Rajiformes; Rajidae. The record is from RefSeq and is a predicted model, not a curated record. The transcript is spliced from 3 exons.